GAUGAACGCUGGCGGCGUGCCUAAUACAUGCAAGUCGAGCGAACAGACGAGGAGCUUGCUCCUCUGACGUUAGCGGCGGACGGGUGAGUAACACGUGGAUAACCUACCUAUAAGACUGGGAUAACUUCGGGAAACCGGAGCUAAUACCGGAUAACAUGUUGAACCGCAUGGUUCAACAGUGAAAGACGGUCUUGCUGUCACUUAUAGAUGGAUCCGCGCCGCAUUAGCUAGUUGGUAAGGUAACGGCUUACCAAGGCAACGAUGCGUAGCCGACCUGAGAGGGUGAUCGGCCACACUGGAACUGAGACAUGGUCCAGACUCCUACGGGAGGCAGCAGUAGGGAAUCUUCCGCAAUGGGCGAAAGCCUGACGGAGCAACGCCGCGUGAGUGAAGAAGGCCUUCGGAUCGUAAAACUCUGUUAUUAGGGAAGAACAAAUGUGUAAGUAACUAUGCACGUCUUGACGGUACCUAAUCAGAAAGCCACGGCUAACUACGUG
Molecule: ribosomal RNA, 497 nt
Filed under: uncultured bacterium
Lineage: Bacteria
Description: partial 16S ribosomal RNA
Rfam family: Bacterial small subunit ribosomal RNA
Source: RNAcentral